UAGUUUGUUCUAUGUAAUUAUGUUUAACUCAUCCUAUUAAUAUUGAACAGUGUAUAUGUUCCUAUUCCACAGGCAUUUUAAAUACAUGCUUCUGCUAUUUUAUAAAGUCUCCAGUUAAAAACUCUUCCAGAUAUUGAUUGUUAAAUAGAUUGAUGAUAGAGUAUACCUUAAUGAUCAUUGCAGUUGAGAUGCUUUCAAAUAAUCCUCAAUCACAAAUUGCCAUCUGAACUAUGAUUUGUGAAGGCUUCAUUAUACUGCAAAUAAUAACACCUGUGGUUCUUCUUUUCUCCAUUCCACCCCUCCCCCAUUCUUUUUGGAGUCCAGAUUUUGCCUUGAUUGUGAGAGAAAAGAGAAGAGAAGAGUACACUGUCAGGCAUACGAGCAUAAUCUUUCCUCUAUUUUGCACUGGAAAAGAAUAGAUUUCCACGAUGGUCGCUGAGUAGAAAUGGAAAAAGCUAGUGGUUAAAUAUAUAAAUGCUGAGUAUUAUCCAGAAUUGAUAGAAGACACAGAAUACCCAGAUUAAAGAAACAUAAUAAAACCUACAGUGAG
Molecule: long non-coding RNA, 550 nt
Organism: Herpailurus yagouaroundi (jaguarundi)
Lineage: Eukaryota; Metazoa; Chordata; Mammalia; Carnivora; Felidae
Exons: 3
Source: RefSeq, a predicted model, not a curated record